GAUGAACGCUAGCUACAGGCUUAACACAUGCAAGUCGAGGGGCAGCGCAGUGUAGCAAUACAUGGGCGGCGACCGGCGCACGGGUGCGUAACGCGUAUCCAACCUUCCCGUUACUCAGGGAUAGCCUUCCGAAAGGGAGAUUAAUACCUGAUGGUGUUUUGAAUUCCGCAUGUUAUUCAAACUAAAGAUUAAUCGGUAACGGAUGGGGAUGCGUGACAUUAGAUAGUAGGCGGGGUAACGGCCCACCUAGUCUACGAUGUCUAGGGGUUCUGAGAGGAAGGUCCCCCACACUGGAACUGAGACACGGUCCAGACUCCUACGGGAGGCAGCAGUGAGGAAUAUUGGUCAAUGGUCGGAAGACUGAACCAGCCAAGUAGCGUGAAGGAAGACUGCCCUAUGGGUUGUAAACUUCUUUUAUACGGGAACAAACCCCGGUACGUGUACCGGAUUGCGUGUACCGUAUGAAUAAGCAUCGGCUAACUCCGUG
Molecule: ribosomal RNA, 487 nt
Filed under: uncultured bacterium
Lineage: Bacteria
Description: bacterial SSU rRNA
Rfam family: Bacterial small subunit ribosomal RNA
Source: RNAcentral